Molecule: ribosomal RNA, 247 nt
Filed under: uncultured bacterium
Lineage: Bacteria
Description: partial 16S ribosomal RNA
Rfam family: Bacterial small subunit ribosomal RNA
Source: RNAcentral
AUACGUAUGGAGCAAGCGUUAUCCGGAUUUACUGGGUGUAAAGGGAGUGUAGGUGGCCAUGCAAGUCAGAAGUGAAAAUCCGGGGCUCAACCCCGGAACUGCUUUUGAAACUGUAAGGCUGGAGUGCAGGAGGGGUGAGUGGAAUUCCUAGUGUAGCGGUGAAAUGCGUAGAUAUUAGGAGGAACACCAGUGGCGAAGGCGGCUCACUGGACUGUAACUGACACUGAGGCUCGAAAGCGUGGGGAGC